RNAcentral lists this ribosomal RNA (1413 nucleotides) under Staphylococcus aureus. RNAcentral's name for it is "partial 23S ribosomal RNA". It matches the Rfam family "Bacterial large subunit ribosomal RNA", at positions 71 to 1484 of the family's 2925-position model. Lineage: Bacteria; Bacillati; Bacillota; Bacilli; Caryophanales; Staphylococcaceae. The record is from RNAcentral.
AUAUGCUUUGGGGAGCUGUAAGUAAGCUUUGAUCCAGAGAUUUCCGAAUGGGGAAACCCAGCAUGAGUUAUGUCAUGUUAUCGAUAUGUGAAUACAUAGCAUAUCAGAAGGCACACCCGGAGAACUGAAACAUCUUAGUACCCGGAGGAAGAGAAAGAAAAUUCGAUUCCCUUAGUAGCGGCGAGCGAAACGGGAAGAGCCCAAACCAACAAGCUUGCUUGUUGGGGUUGUAGGACACUCUAUACGGAGUUACAAAGGACGACAUUAGACGAAUCAUCUGGAAAGAUGAAUCAAAGAAGGUAAUAAUCCUGUAGUCGAAAAUGUUGUCUCUCUUGAGUGGAUCCUGAGUACGACGGAGCACGUGAAAUUCCGUCGGAAUCUGGGAGGACCAUCUCCUAAGGCUAAAUACUCUCUAGUGACCGAUAGUGAACCAGUACCGUGAGGGAAAGGUGAAAAGCACCCCGGAAGGGGAGUGAAAUAGAACCUGAAACCGUGUGCUUACAAGUAGUCAGAGCCCGUUAAUGGGUGAUGGCGUGCCUUUUGUAGAAUGAACCGGCGAGUUACGAUUUGAUGCAAGGUUAAGCAGUAAAUGUGGAGCCGUAGCGAAAGCGAGUCUGAAUAGGGCGUUUAGUAUUUGGUCGUAGACCCGAAACCAGGUGAUCUACCCUUGGUCAGGUUGAAGUUCAGGUAACACUGAAUGGAGGACCGAACCGACUUACGUUGAAAAGUGAGCGGAUGAACUGAGGGUAGCGGAGAAAUUCCAAUCGAACCUGGAGAUAGCUGGUUCUCUCCGAAAUAGCUUUAGGGCUAGCCUCAAGUGAUGAUUAUUGGAGGUAGAGCACUGUUUGGACGAGGGGCCCCUCUCGGGUUACCGAAUUCAGACAAACUCCGAAUGCCAAUUAAUUUAACUUGGGAGUCAGAACAUGGGUGAUAAGGUCCGUGUUCGAAAGGGAAACAGCCCAGACCACCAGCUAAGGUCCCAAAAUAUAUGUUAAGUGGAAAAGGAUGUGGCGUUGCCCAGACAACUAGGAUGUUGGCUUAGAAGCAGCCAUCAUUUAAAGAGUGCGUAAUAGCUCACUAGUCGAGUGACACUGCGCCGAAAAUGUACCGGGGCUAAACAUAUUACCGAAGCUGUGGAUUGUCCUUUGGACAAUGGUAGGAGAGCGUUCUAAGGGCGUUGAAGCAUGAUCGUAAGGACAUGUGGAGCGCUUAGAAGUGAGAAUGCCGGUGUGAGUAGCGAAAGACGGGUGAGAAUCCCGUCCACCGAUUGACUAAGGUUUCCAGAGGAAGGCUCGUCCGCUCUGGGUUAGUCGGGUCCUAAGCUGAGGCCGACAGGCGUAGGCGAUGGAUAACAGGUUGAUAUUCCUGUACCACCUAUAAUCGUUUUAAUCGAUGGGGGGACGCAGUAGGAUA